GAUGAACGCUGGCGGCGUGCUUAACACAUGCAAGUCGAGCGAAGCACUUUACUUAGAUUUCUUCGGGAUGAAGAGUUUUGUGACUGAGCGGCGGACGGGUGAGUAACGCGUGGGCAACCUGCCUCAUACAGGGGGAUAACAGUUAGAAAUGACUGCUUAUACCGCAUAAGACCACAGCACCGCAUGGUGCAGAGGCAAAAACUCCGGUGGUAUGAGAUGGACCCGCGUCUGAUUAGCUGGUUGGUGGGGUAACGGCCUACCAAGGCAACGAUCAGUAGCCGGCCUGAGAGGGCGACCGGCCACAUUGGGACUGAGACACGGCCCAAACUCCUACGGGAGGCAGCAGUGGGGAAUAUUGCACAAUGGGGGAAACCCUGAUGCAGCGACGCCGCGUGAAGGAAGAAGUAUUUCGGUAUGUAAACUUCUAUCAGCAGGGAAGAAAAUGACGGUACCUGACUAAGAAGCCCCGGCUAACUACGUGCCAGCCGCCGCAGUAA
This 497-nucleotide ribosomal RNA is filed under the name uncultured bacterium. Its description in RNAcentral is "partial 16S ribosomal RNA". It matches the Rfam family "Bacterial small subunit ribosomal RNA", at positions 28 to 523 of the family's 1533-position model. The record is from RNAcentral.